UUUAGAUGAAAUACCUAUAAAUAGGCAUACACGUCAGCUCAGCACACAAUUCCGUUUGCGAAAUGCAACUGUUUUAAACUGUUGCAGCCCCGUUAUUAAUUUUUUCUCCACCGAAAAUUUGACAAAUAUUCAGUUGUACAAUGCGGACAAAUAACUAAUGAAGGCAAGGUGAAGACGAACAAAAGAUAAAAACUCGAGAUAAGAAUUUUGAAGGGCUCUACAGAAACUUUUGAUUGCAGCAAGAGUCCCACUAUGACGCUCUCGCUUCGGGAUUUGACUUGCCUUUCAGUUUCGUUUAUUUUCGUCAUUUGGUUGGCAGCAAACGGUUUCAUGUCGCAAUCAGCACAGAUAGUGACCAAGGUGAUGUUGUCAUUUAUUUGAUAAUAUAAUAAUAAAAAUUUAUAUGAUAGCCUAAUGGUUUUUAUCUGCGUUGUAACAAAAAGCUACGCAAUUUGAAAGUUACUAAAUCGGAUUGAAUUCACCACCAUUUUUUUUUACCCGGCUGUUAAACUCUUAAUCCAAUAGAUUGAUGUGUUAUCCUUGCAUCGUUUUCCUUGGUUUUAUUAUUUAAAUGUGCCGAAUUAAAUUAAGUCAAUUCGAAAUGUUAAGUUGUAUUGUAGUCGGUAUUAAGUGCGAUACAAAGAAGCCAGACGCUAAUCGAAAAACGAUCAUUUGUUUAAAAAGAAAAUAAUUUGAGAUAAUUGAGAAAAAAUUUUUAUUUAGUCAAAAGUUACUAAACCAUUUCUUCAGGUAAGACCAGAGGAAAUCGAAGCGCAAUGGUUCAUCAAGAUCCCGCCGGCCGUGUUGACGAUGAUGCAACAGGCCAUGAAGCUGCCGUGAUUUUUUCGUGUACGAAAAAAUAGCGCCUGACUUUUAUUUGUUAAAUGUAACAUGUUGGUGCCUGCUGAAAGCUGAAAGGCUUAUUUUGAGCGUUUGGACUUGUGCACCGGUGGUGAAACCCUGAUGGUGGUACAGUUUAGAUCAUCUCCCAGUUCUAAAAACAUUGAGAUAAAAUAGAACAGCUAUUCUAUCACCCGUUUUAAUAGCUUCAAUUUUACCUUGGUGAACCAUAUAACAUCGGUGUUUCCUGCAAUAUAUUUGGAUUUGAAUACAAACAUGUAAAAUCUUUA
Daphnia pulicaria is the source of this 1130-nucleotide long non-coding RNA. RefSeq lists it as uncharacterized. Lineage: Eukaryota; Metazoa; Arthropoda; Branchiopoda; Diplostraca; Daphniidae. The record is from RefSeq and is a predicted model, not a curated record. The transcript is spliced from 2 exons.